This 2738-nucleotide ribosomal RNA is filed under the name Berkeleya fennica. RNAcentral's name for it is "bacterial LSU rRNA". It matches the Rfam family "Bacterial large subunit ribosomal RNA". Lineage: Eukaryota; Bacillariophyta; Bacillariophyceae; Naviculales; Berkeleyaceae. The record is from RNAcentral.
UAAAAAGUUUUUUAUGCAUUAAAUGGAUACCUAAAUAUCAAAAUUAAAAUGGACGUUUUAUAACGAAAUAUUGUAGUGAGUAGAAUUAUUUGCUGAGAAUUACAAUUUUCCAUUUAUGGUAAACCAAGCUUUGAAAUAUUUAAGCUUAUUUUAGCUUGUAGCUAAAAUAUUUUAACUUAGUAAACUGAAUCAUCUAAGUAACUAAGAAAAAAAUCAACCGAGAUUCCGUAAGUAGUGGCGAGCGAACGCGGUAAAGACUAAAAAUUUUUUACUUUUAUUUAAUAUUUAUAGCCAAAGAAGGAAGUGCCCUGUAAAAUAAAGAGUAAAAGUUUUAAUAAAAGUAGAGUGAUACAAGUCAUGUGUUGCUUGAACAUUGGGGGCCCACCCUCAAAGUCUAAAAAUUUUGAUGUUUGAUAGUGUACUAGUACUGUGAAGGAACGGUGAAAAAGAAUUUGUGAAGAUUGAAAAGACAUUGAAAUUUAAUGCUAACAAGCAGUUGUAGCUUUUUAUUAAUCGAAAGUGACAACGUACCUUUUGUAUAAUGGAUCAACAAGUUUAUUUGAGUGGCGAGCUUAAAUAAUUUAUAAUUAUGUAGGCGAAAAAAAAUUGAGUUUUAAAAUGCUAUUAAGUCUCUUAAAUAAGACCCGAAACUAAGUGAUCUAACCAUGAACAGGUUGAAUUUAAAGCGGUAACGCUUAUUGGAGGACCGAACUCGUGUAUGUGGAAAAAUACUGAGAUGAUUUGUGGUUAGGAGUGAAAGGCUAAUCAAACUUAGAGAUAGCUGGUUUUCUGCGAAAUCUAUUUAAGUAGAGCGUUUAAAAUUCUUCUAUUUGGGGUAGAGCUCUCGAUAAGCAAUGGGGACGAAAGUUUUACUGAGUUUAUUGAAACUUCAAAUACAUAUAGAAUGACUUUAAGCAGACAGACUAUGAGUGCUAAGAUUCUUAGUCAAAAGGGAAACAGCCCAGACUAAUGCUAAGGCCCCUAAAAAUAGUUAAGUGAAAAAAAUGUUAAAGAGUAUUGACAACUGGUAAGUAGACUUAGAAGCAGUCAUCUUUUAAAGAAAGCGUAAUAGCUCACUGGUUUAGCUUUUUUGUGUUGAAAAUGUAAAGGGACUUAAACUAUUUGCCGAAGCCGUAGAUUUAACUUAGGUUAAAUGGUAGCAGAACGUUCUGUAAAUUUAAGAAGGUUUGUGGUUACACAAACUGGAGAAAUCAGAAGCGAAAAUGUUGAUAUGAGUAGCGAUAAACAGUGUUUAAACACUGUCGCCUUAAGUCCAAGGUUUCCAAAACAAGGCUAAUCCGUUUUGGUAAAGUUAAUCGGUCCCUAAGAUAACAACGAAAGUUUACAUUGAUGGGUAAAAAAUAAAUAUUUUUUUAUGUUUUAAAAGUGACAAAAUAUGCAUGUUAUUUUUAUUUUAUGGUAAAAUAAAGGUUGCAUAGUAUUUUCAGGAAAAAGCUUUAAAAAUUAAAACCGUACCAUAACCGACACAGGUGGGUAGGUAGAGUAUACUAAGGGGCGCGAGAUAACUCUCUCUAAGGAACUCGGCAAAAUGACUCCGUAACUUCGGGAGAAGGAGUAACUUUUUUAGGGAAACCUUUAAAAGUUGUCACAAAAUCGGGGACAGCAACUGUUUACCAAAAACACAGGUCUCCGCUAAGUCGUAAGACGAUGUAUUGGGGCUGACGCCUGCCCAGUGCAGGAAGGUUAAAGAAGAGGUCCCUGGCUUCGACCCUAACACCCAGUAAACGGCGGCCGUAACUAUAACGGUCCUAAGGUAGCGAAAUUCCUUGUCGGGUAAGUUCCGACCUGCACGAAUGGCGUAACGACUGUGACACUGUCUCCAGCACAAGCUCGGUGAAAUUGAAUUUUCCGUGAAGAUGCGGAAUUCCUGCGGCUAGACGGAAAGACCCCGUGCACCUUUACUGCAAUUAUAUAUUGUGUUAAAAGUUUUUAUGUGUAGAAUAGGUGGGAGUCGUUUUGUUAUUUAUAAAUAGCAAAGACCUUUGCGCAAGCAAAUUGUUUAGACAUAAAGUGAAAUACCACCCUUAAAAAUUUUUAUCACUAAUUUUUUAAGACAUUGUAUAACGGGUAGUUUGACUGGGGCGGUCGCCUCCUAAAGAGUAACGGAGGCGCACAAAGGUAAGUUUGAAUUGGAUAAAUAUCAAUUUGUAAGCGUAAUAGUAUAUACUUGCUUGACUGUGAGACCUACAAGUCGAGCAGGGACGAAAGUCGGUCUUAGUGAUCUGACGGUGCUGAGUGGAAAGGCCGUCACUCAACGGAUAAAAGUUACUCUAGGGAUAACAGGCUGAUCUCCCCAAGAGUUCACAUCGACGGGGAGGUUUGGCACCUCGAUGUCGGCUCAUCGCAUCCUGGGGCGGUAGUACGUCCCAAGGGUUGGGCUGUUCGCCCAUGAAAGCGGUACGCGAGCUGGGUUCAGAACGUCGUGAGACAGUUCGGUCCAUAUCCGGUGUAGGCGUUAGAAUAUUGAGAGGACUCGUCUUUAGUACGAGAGGACCGAGAAAAGCGAAUCUCUUGUGCAUCGAUUGUUAGACCAAUAGCAUUGUCGAGUAGCUACAUUCGUAAUAAAUAAUCGCUGAAAGCAUCUAAGUGAGAAAUUAACCUUGAAACGAGUUUUUGAAUAAAUGUAAUAGAUUAUUACAUAGAUAGGCUUGAAGUGUAAGAAUUGUAAGAUUUUUAGCUGACAAGUACUAAAAAUUUUUAAUUAUUUAAACUUUUUA